This 373-nucleotide ribosomal RNA is filed under the name uncultured bacterium. RNAcentral's name for it is "bacterial SSU rRNA". It matches the Rfam family "Bacterial small subunit ribosomal RNA", at positions 525 to 896 of the family's 1533-position model. The record is from RNAcentral.
ACGGAGGAUGCAAGCGUUAUCCGGAAUUAUUGGGCGUAAAGCGUCCGCAGGUGGUUUUACAAGUCUGUUGUCAAAGCGCGAGGCUCAACCUUGUAUAGGCGAUGGAAACUGUAAGACUAGAGUGCGGUAGGGGUAGAGGGAAUUCCCGGUGUAGCGGUGAAAUGCGUAGAUAUCGGGAAGAACACCAGUGGCGAAGGCGCUCUACUGGGCCUGCACUGACACUGAGGGACGAAAGCUAGGGGAGCGAAAGGGAUUAGAUACCCCUGUAGUCCUAGCCGUAAACGAUGGACACUAGGUGUUGCGCGUAUCGACCCGUGCAGUGCCGUAGCUAACGCGUUAAGUGUCCCGCCUGGGGAGUACGCUCGCAAGAGUG